CUUGUCUUAACUCAGAGAUCAGCCUGUUUCUGCCACCGGAGUGCUGGGAUAAAAGGCGUGCACCACCGCUGGCUGAAAAGCAGCGUACAUCUGCAGACUAGAUUUCCACCAGACACCUGAAAUGGCUUCAGCUUCUUGUUAAUCUCGCCGCAGAGGUGUGGAGAGGCUCUUUGCUUUGCAAAGAAAGAAAUGCACUUGCUUCUGCCUUGGACACUGGGGUGACUGUAAGCCUUGAAACUGAGUCCUAAGGAAAGAAAACUCAAGUUGGUUCAGGACGAAUGACACAAAAUCAAACUUCAGAUUCUGUCCUUCCUUCUGUGUUCCAUAGAUAUUACUGAGAAAAAUACAACUAAAAUUCUAUUGCUCACACCGUGCAUUUCCAUAUUAUUAUCAUGCUUUAUAAUAGCGGCUUACAAGACAAACAGCUCUUUUCAUUGAUGUAUCAUUAGGGACUUUUGUAUCUGUGUGACAUGAGGUGCAUUCUUUGAAUGAAGAGAAGCACUUGGAGCCUUGAUUCCAAAUGGUCAGACUGCAAAAGUCCUUACUGUGCCAGCAGGUGUCUUCCAUCAAACUCCCCAGGGGAGAGCUACUACCUCCUACGCAUGGAAACAAGCAAAUUCGAUUGGUCAACUUUUAAAACAAAUCACUGGAAAGUGUAAGUUUGAGGAGGAGUUUAUCAACUAUAUAGAUUGUUUCCUUAAUCACCCCUGCUAUUCCCAGGUCUAAAUUUUGGGCAUUUUUUUCUAUAACAAAAAUAAUAAAGCAAACAACAGUGCUCAUAAUUAAGUCUAUCAUAGUAGAACAUUGACAUCUCCAUCUCUUGACUCAACAAUUGGUCUGUGCUGCAGGAGGCAAGAGACUGUUUCCAGUGGAGAAGAUUAAAAUGCAAUUAUAAAUUCAUUUAUCUUCCUUCGCUCAGGGGCUCUCCGUUCUAUAACACCAUUUGCAUAAUAGGAUACUUUGUUCCCUUUUAAGUGUUAAAUUUGGAACAUUUUAUUCCAGGUGCCCAUCAAAAAAAUAAAUAAAAGGAGUUUUAAGCCCUGGGCUUUCCAUAUGUAUCUGAUGUUAAGAGUUAGUUUAUUUGGCCUGUUUUUAGGGAAAUAUAGACACUUUUUUUUUCUUCUUGUAAACAUUUCCAAGAUGAUAGAGUUCUAAAGAGUUGUAAAUAUAGAUAAAUAGAAGUUAGGAAUUCACCUCCUCUAUUCUCUACAACCAACCAAGACACACACUCACACACACACACACAUAGACACACAUAGAGACACAGACACACACACACACACACACACACACACACACACACACACACCCUCAGUGCUUUCUCUGGAGGUGUUAUGGGAGGUGCCACUUUUAUUGGGUUGGCUUCUCACUGCCCCCUCUUCCCUCAUUUCUGCUGCCUUUGUGUUAAGAUUCCUGAUCACUUUAGUCAAUGCAUACCCACACUCUUUCCUCCCACUGGUCCCUAGUGAGCAUGAACCUGUCUGGUGUUUAAUUGCCUGGUUAGCUAAGAGCUAACUGGGAAAAAAGAAAUCCCUGCUAAUGGAGAAUCUAUCAGCUCAAGUGGAACAUGAUUUAUUUUUUUAAAGGGACCCUUGGGACCUUUAAUAGUUUUGUUUAUUCAUUUAAAAAUGUGGGCACAUUGUUAGCAGGGACAGAAAGACCCAGGUCCCCCCAUGUAAACACGUUCCCCAACCUUCACACUGUCCAGUACAGUCAUACCUCUGCUGCAGGGCCUAGAGAUAAGUUAAGCUGCACACUAGGAAAUGUGUUUAGGAAUAUGAAUUAGGACAGAAAAUAGCCAAGCUAGAGAGUAUUCCAUACUAGCCUGGCACCUUUUGCAUAAUGAUUGUAAAUACUGCUCAGCAGCGUGAGGCCCUUAAACUUCACUUUUCUGAAAUUUCUCAUAGCCUAUUUGUAUUAGCAGCUGGCUUUCUUCUGAGUCAACUCUGAUUGGCUAGGACAUAGAGUCUAUGGUAUUCAAUGGGAAAAUCUAGCCUUCCUGGCGGCUGUCCUCAAUAUAGCUAUUCAAGUAGCUAAAGGACAGAUCUCCUUAGGAACCUCACAACGGCUCUUUUUUCUUGUCUCCUGAAGAUGCUCUUCCUGUGACAUUGACUGUUGAUCCCCUGCAGUUGGUGUCCUGGUUUCAGCUUGACACUGUCAAGCCAUGUAUCAAGGAAGAACACACCUGCCACCCAGGGGCAAGGCAGGUGAUGGGAGGUAGGUCAAGGGAACAGUGGGGGUCUUGCAGACCAAGAUGCCUUGUCCAUAGUAAACUAUAUAACAGAGUCCAUAGUAAACCUAAUACGCACAUGAAGUGCAGCAGUUGAGCAGCAGGUAUUUUGAAGUUCAGGAGGUAGGAAGUGUGUGUAGAUGGUGAUAGAGACUUGACUCCUUACUGUUUGUCUUGAAACUUGGAUUUGAAGAGCAGAUACUUUAUAAGAACUGAACUACUAAGGAAGAGAGUGAAUGAGCCAAUCUGUGAUUGUUUUCCAUUUAUUACAAUCUCAGAAAGAAGCACCAUAGCUCAAGGGUGGGUUGGGCACACCACUGUGGCUUCAUAAAGUCAGUGACUGAGGGUCUAUUGGGAGAAAACUUCUAUCAAUUGAGAAAAGAGGUUUUUAAAAAGAUUGCCCAUGUCACCUUCUUUAUUUAUCUUUUAUCUCUUGUUUCCUGUCUUCUCAUAGUAUUAAAAUGGAUUACACUAACAUUUUAUCUUAAAAUUUUUUUUUUAGGAAAGGUCACUUUUGAAGACUGUGCUAGGGUGGGAGAGAAUUUUGAAACAUGCUGCCCUUUCCCUAGGGAGACCCUUCCGCUAAGCUGGCUACAAGGAAAAGACAUGGUGGGAAAGAGGGGUUUGCUAACCCUGACAUUGUACCACAUUACCAAACACACUGGAUGUGGAGUGUUGCAAGAUGAGACACUAAACACAUAGCAUGUUCUCUGACCCCAGCAAUGUAAGAGUUAACUUUGUCUCUUUCAGAAAUAGAAUCACCAGAGCUCGGGCGAGAUGUGUGAUGUCCAUGACAUUCCACGGUCACUUAGAGUUCCAUCAGUAGGCUCUACGUGUGUGGGGACUGAGGAAGCAGAUAUGCAGGUUGCAUCCAUGGAGACACAUCUCUGUCAGAUGCAGUGAGAUGCGGUAGACGUAGAAAGCACAAAGGGCUGCCAAGAGCUUUAGGCACAGUAACAGCAGGAAGUACUCAGGGUACUCUUACAAGGUGCCCCCUACUUGACAGAAUCAUGAACUGAAGAAGAGGAGUGACCAGGAGAAUCAAUCGCUUAGUGCCCUCUGACUACUGACUGGUAAGUCUUUCUUAUUCUAGGCAGCAGGGACAUAAUCUGCUAGCUGUCAAGGUUGGUUCCUCUGUCCUCAGAAAAUCAGAAUGCCUGGGUUGCUUUGAUCAUUUGGACCAAUCACGAAGUUAAGACCAGUUUUAUCAGGAGUCAGUCAGGGGAGUGGUUCAGUACAGAGAACCCUGGGAAGUUUAUUGAAAUGCAGCCACAGGCUUCUGGAUCCUAUGUCCUUUCAGGGGGUCCUGAGUACAAGCAGGGCUCUUUGAGAGAGCCUUGCCUAAAGUCCCUCCUUUAAGGAUGCUGGACUUGGAAAGAGCAGAGGAAGAGACAGCUUUCCACUCAUCUUUAAACAGCCACUUCUACACACCACGGUCAGUCCCAGGACAUGCAACAACAUCAAGGACAGAGGCCCCUGAGUAUCAGGAGGCUACAGUGGCCUUAUUAUUGAUCCUCAAUCUUCCCUAAUUUCCCACAUGGCCAGAGGGUAAUGGGUAGCAGAAUGGGAGAAGAGAGAAUUCAUACAGGCUACUCUAACCACUCCCCUCUCCCUCCACAUACACUCAAUCAUAACGAUUUGUGCUGCCUAAACACUUCAGUUCUUUUUAACCGUCUUGGGAGGAAAAUGAAGUACACCAGCUAUCAGAGCAAAGCUCGGAGGACAAGGGGUUGCUGAGGCAGAAAAUCCCCCAGCGGCUGGCUUGAUGGAUGUCAGGACUUUGUCUCCUGAGAUACAGUGAUUCACAGCGGCUUUUCAGCAACCAAAAAUAAACCGUCACUCUGCUCACCAGUGAUGAGCUUACCGUC
Molecule: long non-coding RNA, 4098 nt
Organism: Mus musculus (house mouse)
Lineage: Eukaryota; Metazoa; Chordata; Mammalia; Rodentia; Muridae
Product: predicted gene, 32322
Exons: 2
Source: RefSeq, a predicted model, not a curated record